GGAGAUGUGGCACGGUGGUAGUGCAUUCGCCUAGAAUGCUUGAAGUCCUGGGUUCACUCCCCAGCAUUUCAA
This 72-nucleotide transfer RNA is filed under the name Heterocephalus glaber (naked mole-rat). It matches the Rfam family "tRNA". From Rfam's summary of the family: Transfer RNA (tRNA) molecules are approximately 80 nucleotides in length. Their secondary structure includes four short double-helical elements and three loops (D, anti-codon, and T loops). Lineage: Eukaryota; Metazoa; Chordata; Mammalia; Rodentia; Bathyergidae. The record is from Rfam by way of RNAcentral.